GCGGCCGUAGUCUAGUUUGGAUCAGGACGGCGGCCUGCCACGUCGCAGAUCCCGGGUUCAAAUCCCGGCGGCCGCA
This 76-nucleotide transfer RNA is filed under the name Thermocladium modestius. It matches the Rfam family "tRNA". Rfam says of the family: Transfer RNA (tRNA) molecules are approximately 80 nucleotides in length. RNAcentral also lists the same sequence under 2 other names. The record is from Rfam by way of RNAcentral. Lineage: Archaea; Thermoproteati; Thermoproteota; Thermoprotei; Thermoproteales; Thermoproteaceae.